RNAcentral lists this long non-coding RNA (2929 nucleotides) under Neodiprion lecontei (redheaded pine sawfly). RNAcentral describes it as "uncharacterized LOC124293396, transcript variant X1". Lineage: Eukaryota; Metazoa; Arthropoda; Insecta; Hymenoptera; Diprionidae. The record is from RNAcentral.
UCCGACGUGCAACAUACGGCUUAGAAAUAACGACUGACGAGAUACCACGAAGAGAAGUCGCGCAGCGCGUAUUUUCAGACAUUCCUAAAAUAAACCCGCAUUUCCUCCGCGACUAGCUUGGAAGCUUAAUAUUCUGAAUCACAGCACGAAGAUUUCGUGGUAGCGAAUGACGAUGCGUGAUCCAAGGGGCCCCGGAUCUGAGACUUGCAAAACAUUUGAAAUAUUUCGCACCACCUCGACGAAGGCUUGUAUACUAAAAUCAAAAAACAACUUUUUACUUAUUCACAUUUUUAUUACCGAGCAACUUUCACAAAUUGUAUCUGUAUUGUCUGUAAGACGUGCCCUGCAGUGAUCAUCACAUAUAGCUUAUGAUCCUCGGGCCAUAGUAUGUAACGAAAACCUCAGCUUCUCAGUCUUCCAAAAGCUGACUGUAUCACCUGAGAUCAAAGAAACAGGAUUCUCAAACGUUCUCAUACGUCGUGACAACGAGAAAUUCUACAAAUCUUUACCAAACUUCAAAGCAAUGAGCUUUGCAAGGUAACCGCCACCAGAGAUAUCGGCAGCACUCCGGCCUUGGUUUGUGAAAACAACCCGGUCGGCAGCAAGGACGUUGUGGGACGUAGUACUUGGGUCGUGGUUCCGGUUUCAGAGGAAUGGUGACCGUGCAACCCCUACAAGAGUCGCAGAGUUACAAACGAAUAAACCAGAGAAAAUCAAGACGAAGAUGAUGGGAACUUGCCCAUGAAGCAUUAAACCUGACCUGUGCCGGGCGGACUUUGCACUGCACCUUCGGAAAUACAAUUAAUCCAGCCACAACGAACGAUGCCUUCCGAUGAUCACUCAUUGUCAGAGUCGAACCGCUCAUUUCAAGGGACUCGCUGCCACCCUGGCCGGACAUUGCGGAGGACAUGCUGGAGGACACGGCGGUGGACAGUAAGGAACGCAUUUUGGAGGACAGGGUCCGCACGGCACCGGUGGUGUACAAAUCGUGAUUCGGCAAGGCGGGGGACAAGGACAACAUGGUACGCACGGCGGGCAAGGUGGACAAGGUGGUGGGCAGCAAGGGUAUACAGGACUAUUCUGCUUGCAGCCUGGGGAGGAAGGAGCUUGAGGCGGAGACGAGCCACCACAGCACGACAUUUUCUUUAAAUUUUUCGAUCCCCUGGAACAAUCACUGCUGUUCGCUGGAUUAAAAUACAGACUUCUAAAUUGAUAAGGAAUUAGGCUUGCACCUACAUUACACAGUACACUAAAAAAGUGAUCCAGGACACCUGAUGACGGCAAUGUAAAAUAUAACAACUCGUUGACCAUGGACGAUAAAAUAUUAGCAUCGAGGUGGUGGGCAACAGGGCAUGCACGGUAAACACGGUGGUGGGCAUGGUGGAGGACAAGGCGGCGGACAUGGCAUACAGGGAACACACGAAGGGCAAGGCAUACAACGAGGCGGCGGUGGACAGCAACUGAUGCAUGGUGGGCAAGGUGGAGGACUGCAGGGCGGUGGACAGGGUGGAGGGCAGCGAGGUGGCGGACAACAUGGAGGCGGAGGGCAUCGAGGUGGUGGACAACAUGGAGGCGGAGGGCAUCGAGGUGGUGGACAAGGUUGUGGUGGUGGUGGUGGUGGGCAGGGUUGUGGACAACAUGGUGUAGCAGGGCAUGGGGGUGGACAUGGUGGUCCGGCACAUGUAUUGCCACAGGUCCGUUAGUUUGAGGAGAGCUGCCCGACCAGGACCACAAACUGGGUAAAGCUUCGUCAUGCACUCCGGUCGGCCCAUGCAAUCGUACAUCAUGCAACGAUCCUGCAGUCCGUUACGCAGGAUGCAUUCACAUCUGUACAUUAUUCCACCGCGAAGUUCGAAGCUCUUGCAUGCCUUGAUUGGGCUCUGUCGACGAAACGUUAAUGAUCGAAAAGUUCGAAAUCAACUCACACAGCAUGGUGGAUCGUCAGAGACUGGACAGACUGGACAACAAGUUGGUGGCGGACAGGGAGGCUCGUCCCACUCGCAAGGCUUUCUGUAAGAACUGACAAGACAUUUCAGCUGGGCCAGAAGCUCUCGUCGUCGAUCGCAAUUCGGGUUCUUUCCGUCACACGGCAUCUUGGAGGGAUUUUUUUUUUUUUCAGUUCGAAAUUUUACACUUUUUUUCGACUGGUUUGGAAAUAGUUAUUUUCUAUUUCAUUCAGUCAUCUGAUAUUUCGGUUUUUUUUUAUUCUUUGUGUAUUUAUUAAAUUUUUUUUUUCGUAUGACGCAUUACUUCUUUUACAAUUUCAUACUCUUACGAAGGACAGCUGAUCUACCGAGAAUUUAAACAGUGCAAAGAUACAUAUUGAAAAAAAACCACAGGGCAGCCAAAAUUUACUGAGAAUUUAACGUUGCUAUUAUCAUAGACGUGAAUAAACUAAUAUGUAUUCAUAUUUUCAUCUCAUGCGUCAAUUGAGAAACAACUCGUGCCCCCGGCAACGCAUAUUUCCAUUGUUAAGGAACCCAACAGAAGAGCCAAUCACACGAAGCUUCUUCCCAACUAACAUUUACAGCUGACCAUUCCUUGUCCAUGUGUAAAAUUGUAUAAGAUUAACGUAUUCCAAAUCCUCGGAUAUUUUCGAAACAUACGGUACACUGGAAAGAAUUAAAUCGUCAUCUUGGAAAGUGAAAAUAAUUCGUAGCAAGUUACGGUGAUGUAAAUGUGUUGAUUUAUUACUGUACAUAUUAUUAUUCAUGCUUAAUGAUGCCAGUAAUAACAUAACAGUGGCGGCUUCGGUGGGACUAGUAUUGCGAUUGAGGCAGGGUUACUUUGUAGCGAGUGUGAGAACGUAGUUUCACGAACGGGAAAUACGCAAGGUUGCACAACAGCCGAACGAAUUUUAGUGGACCAGCAUUGCUUAUUCCGCCAUGAAUGCGGAGUAAUAAAGCGGACAAGGAGACACAAAAAGACG